Molecule: transfer RNA, 73 nt
Filed under: Stegodyphus mimosarum
Lineage: Eukaryota; Metazoa; Arthropoda; Arachnida; Araneae; Eresidae
Rfam family: tRNA
About the family: Transfer RNA (tRNA) molecules are approximately 80 nucleotides in length. Their secondary structure includes four short double-helical elements and three loops (D, anti-codon, and T loops). Further hydrogen bonds mediate the characteristic L-shaped molecular structure. tRNAs have two regions of fundamental functional importance: the anti-codon, which is responsible for specific mRNA codon recognition, and the 3' end, to which the tRNAs corresponding amino acid is attached (by aminoacyl-tRNA synthetases). tRNAs cope with the degeneracy of the genetic code in two manners: having more than one tRNA (with a specific anti-codon) for a particular amino acid; and 'wobble' base-pairing, i.e. permitting non-standard base-pairing at the 3rd anti-codon position.
Source: Rfam by way of RNAcentral
GCCUUCAUGGUGUAGUGGUCAACACACUGGAUGCGUAUUUGAGAGGUCCGUGGUUCGAGUCCCGGUGAGGGCA